Molecule: ribosomal RNA, 695 nt
Filed under: Ixodes scapularis (black-legged tick)
Lineage: Eukaryota; Metazoa; Arthropoda; Arachnida; Ixodida; Ixodidae
Description: partial 16S ribosomal RNA
Source: RNAcentral
UAAUUUUUUCUAUUAGGGAUAAGCUUAAUAGAAUUUCUUUAAAUAAAAAUUAUUUAUUUAAAUAAGGAAUAAAAUUUUCUAAGUUUUUUUGUAAAAAAUUUUUUUAUUAUUCAAGUUAUGUAAGAUUUUUAUAUGAUUAAAUUAAUUUUUUUUUUAAUAAAAUUAUUAAAAAAUUAGUAAAUUUAAAAAAAAAGUAAUGAAAAAUUAAAAUAUAUUAAUAAAAUGAAAAUUUAAUUAUAGUAAUUCGGCAAAUUAAUUUAAUUGACUGUUUAUCAAAAACAUUUCAUCUUGAAAAGUAAUAAGAUGUAUAAUCUGCUCAAUGAUUUUUUAAAUUGCUGUGGUAUUUUGACUAUACAAAGGUAUUGAAAUAAGAUUUUAAAUGAGUGCUAAGAGAAUGAUUAAACAAUUAAAAGCUUUCUUUAAUUAAAUAAUUAAAUUUAAUUUUUUUAGUGCAAAAGCAAAAAUAAAAUUUAGGGACAAGAAGACCCUAUGAAUUUUUAUUGUUAAUAAUUAAAAUUUAAAUUAUUAAUAAUUUAAUUGGGGCGAUAAAAAAAGAAUAAGUAUCUUUUUAGUUAUAAAAUAAGUUCCGUUUUUAGCGAUUAAAUGAAAUAAAUACUCUAGGGAUAACAGCGUAAUAAUUUUGGAUAGUUCAUAUAGAUAAAAUAGUUUGCGACCUCGAUGUUGGAUUAGGAUUC